GUGUCAGCCGCCGCGGUAAUACGAAGGGGGCUAGCGUUGUUCGGAAUCACUGGGCGUAAAGCGCACGUAGGCGGAUCGUUAAGUCGGGGGUGAAAUCCCGAGGCUCAACCUCGGAACUGCCUUCGAUACUGGCGAUCUUUGAGUCCGGGAGAGGUGAGUGGAACUCCGAGUGUAGAGGUGAAAUUCGUAGAUAUUCGGAAGAACACCAGUGGCGAAGGCGGCUCACUGGCCCGGUACUGACGCUGAGGUGCGAAAGCGUGGGGAGCAAACAGGAUUAGAUACCCCCGUAGUCC
This 293-nucleotide ribosomal RNA is filed under the name uncultured bacterium. RNAcentral describes it as "partial 16S ribosomal RNA". It matches the Rfam family "Bacterial small subunit ribosomal RNA", at positions 505 to 796 of the family's 1533-position model. The record is from RNAcentral.